Long non-coding RNA from Papilio polytes (common Mormon), 676 nucleotides. RefSeq lists it as uncharacterized. NCBI's taxonomy places the organism in Eukaryota, Metazoa, Arthropoda, Insecta, Lepidoptera, Papilionidae. The transcript has 5 exons. The record is from RefSeq and is a predicted model, not a curated record.
GUCACAUGUAAACAAUUAAAUAAUUUUAUGCUGAUGAAAUCGCACGGGAACAUCUAGUUCAAAUAUAGAUGAGGAUAGCGAAAAAAAGAUUCCUUCGGGAAUAUUCUAUAAUCUACCUAUAUUCUAUGACAGUGCUUUCAUCCUGAUACCUGGCCACUAUAAAAAACAAACUUCGUUAAAAUGUCAAAUUUUAAUCUAUAAAGUGAAUAAAAUGAAUCCUAGUAUAAUUAUUCAGAGUUCAAAGAACACUUUCGAUAGUAACAGACGACGCUAGUAACAGGAAUUUGUGAGAUCCGAUGCUCGAUCGAUCAUUUUAUUGGAAAUGUUCUAUUAGAUCUACUGUCUAAUGUGACGUCAGAAACAACCGAACCUAUGGUGGAGUUCUGGACCAUUCCAGCACAAUUGGAGACAUUUCCUAUCGAAACUUCAGUAUCUCAUUGUGCUACAGAACUGAUGGAGUGCUACACUAUGACGAUUUUCAAAAUACCCAUAUGUGCUGUUAAUGAUAAAACUUUAAAGGGCUCCAGUGCAACAAAGAAGGCAUUCCCAACAUUCUGUGACAUGCACUAUAGGAAUUGCAAAAGUAAUGUAGAGUCGUGGCAUUAUUUGAAGGAUGAUGAUGGAACGGGAAAGUGUUAGCGUUUAAAUAAGUUUAAUAUAUGCUUCAGUUCUAAUA